CGAGAAUAGCUUGCUAUUCGGCGUCGAGCGGCGGACGGGUGAGUAAUGCUUGGGAAUAUGCCUUUUGGUGGGGGACAACAGUUGGAAACGACUGCUAAUACCGCAUAAUGUCUACGGACCAAAGUGGGGGACCUUCGGGCCUCAUGCCAAGAGAUUAGCCCAAGUGAGAUUAGCUAGUUGGUAAGGUAAUGGCUUACCAAGGCGACGAUCUCUAGCUGGUUUGAGAGGAUGAUCAGCCACACUGGGACUGAGACACGGCCCAGACUCCUACGGGAGGCAGCAGUGGGGAAUAUUGCACAAUGGGCGCAAGCCUGAUGCAGCCAUGCCGCGUGUGUGAAGAAGGCCUUCGGGUUGUAAAGCACUUUCAGUUGUGAGGAAAGGGGUGUAGUUAAUAACUGCAUCCUGUGACGUUAGCAACAGAAGAAGGACCGGCUAACUCCGUGCCAGCAGCCGCGGUAAUACGGAGGGUCCGAGCGUUAAUCGGAAUUACUGGGCGUAAAGCGUGCGUAGGCGGUUUGUUAAGCAAGAUGUGAAAGCCCAGGGCUCAACCUUGGAACUGCAUUUUGAACUGGCAGACUAGAGUAUUGUAGAGGGUGGUGGAAUUUCCAGUGUAGCGGUGAAAUGCGUAGAGAUUGGAAGGAACAUCAGUGGCGAAGGCGGCCACCUGGACAAAUACUGACGCUGAGGUACGAAAGCGUGGGGAGCGAACAGGAUUAGAUACCCUGGUAGUCCACGCCGUAAACGAUGUCAACUAGCCGUCUGUAGACUUGAUCUGUGGGUGGCGUAGCUAACGCGCUAAGUUGACCGCCUGGGGG
Molecule: ribosomal RNA, 815 nt
Filed under: uncultured bacterium
Lineage: Bacteria
Description: bacterial SSU rRNA
Rfam family: Bacterial small subunit ribosomal RNA
Source: RNAcentral